This 436-nucleotide ribosomal RNA is filed under the name uncultured bacterium. RNAcentral's name for it is "partial 16S ribosomal RNA". It matches the Rfam family "Bacterial small subunit ribosomal RNA", at positions 29 to 507 of the family's 1533-position model. The record is from RNAcentral.
AAUGAACGCUGGCGGCAUGCCUAACACAUGCAAGUCGAACGAUGGUCCUCGGAUCAUAGUGGCGCACGGGUGCGUAACGCGUGGGAAUUUGCCCUUGGGUUCGGAAUAACAGUUGGAAACGACUCUUAAUACCGGAUGAUGUCGAAAAGACCAAAGAUUUACCGCCCGAGGAUGAGCCGGCGUCGGUUUAGUUGGUUGGUGGGGUAAAGGUCUACCAGGGCGAGGAUCCGUAGCUGGUCUGAGAGGAUGACCAGCCACACUGAGGCUGAGACACAGCCCAGACUCCUACGGGAGGCGGGAGUGGGGGAUAUUGGACAGUGGGCGCAGGCCUGAUCGAGCUAGGCCGGGUAAGUGAUGAAGGCCUUGGAGUUGUAAUGCUCUUUUACCCGGGAAGAUAAUGACGGUACCGGGAGAAUAAGCCCCGGCUAACUCCGUG